RNAcentral lists this ribosomal RNA (253 nucleotides) under uncultured prokaryote. Its description in RNAcentral is "partial 16S ribosomal RNA". It matches the Rfam family "Bacterial small subunit ribosomal RNA", at positions 524 to 776 of the family's 1533-position model. The record is from RNAcentral.
UACGGAGGGUGCGAACGUUAAUCGGAAUCACUGGGCGUAAAGCGCACGUAGGCGGCUUUCUAAGUCAGGGGUGAAAUCCUGGAGCUCAACUCCAGAACUGCCUUUGAUAUUGGAGAGCUAGAGUCCGGAAGAGGUGAGUGGAACUGCGAGUGUAGAGGUGAAAUUCGUAGAUAUUCGCAAGAACACCAGUGGCGAAGGCGGCUCACUGGUCCGGUACUGACGCUGAGGUGCGAAAGCGUGGGGAGCAAACAGG